GUGCUCACUUCGGCAGCACAUAUACUAAAAUUAGAACAAUACAGAGAAGAUUAGCAUGGCCCCUGUGCAAGGAUGACACACAAAUUCAUGAAGCGUUCCAUAUCUUU
RNAcentral lists this small nuclear RNA (107 nucleotides) under Physeter macrocephalus (sperm whale). The record is from RNAcentral. Lineage: Eukaryota; Metazoa; Chordata; Mammalia; Artiodactyla; Physeteridae.